GACUUUUUAUUUCAGUUGGCUAGAGCAGCUGAUUUGUAAUCAGCAGGUCGGGGGUUCGAGUCCCUUCACCAGCUC
Molecule: transfer RNA, 75 nt
Filed under: hydrothermal vent metagenome
Description: tRNA-Pseudo-TGT
Rfam family: tRNA (bases 8-66)
About the family: Transfer RNA (tRNA) molecules are approximately 80 nucleotides in length. Their secondary structure includes four short double-helical elements and three loops (D, anti-codon, and T loops).
Source: RNAcentral